Molecule: unclassified non-coding RNA, 173 nt
Filed under: uncultured Cladophialophora
Lineage: Eukaryota; Fungi; Ascomycota; Eurotiomycetes; Chaetothyriales; Herpotrichiellaceae
Description: sequence contains ITS2
Source: RNAcentral
UCACCCCUCAAGCCCCGUGCUUGGUGUUGGACGGCCGGUCGAGCGAAUCGACCCCUCCGAAAGACAAUGACGGCGGCCUGUGGUUCCCCCGGUACACUGAGCUUUUCACCGAGCACGUAUCGGACAAGGGCGCCCGGGACCCGGUCCUCUCCUCUCAGCAGGAAACUUCUCAA